Molecule: small nucleolar RNA, 205 nt
Organism: Artibeus jamaicensis (Jamaican fruit-eating bat)
Lineage: Eukaryota; Metazoa; Chordata; Mammalia; Chiroptera; Phyllostomidae
Product: small nucleolar RNA SNORA73 family
Exons: 1
Source: RefSeq, a predicted model, not a curated record
CCCAUGUGGAUGCCCCCGGGAGGUCAUUCUCCCCUGGCUCUGUCUGGGUGACAGAAGGCAGCACAGGGCUCUGGCCCUCGAUGAACCGUCCAUUUCCACAACACUGGAGAGAAAGCGGGACCUUGUGUCCGCACCUGCACAUUCCUGCACCUGCUCAGAGUCCUGUGGAUAGUGACGGAGGAGACAAACCGUGUAGGAAACAUCA